UACGGAGGGUGCAAGCGUUGUCCGGAAUCACUGGGCGUAAAGGGCGCGUAGGCGGCCUGCUAAGUCGAACGUGAAAUCCCCGGGCUCAACCCGGGAACUGCGUCCGAUACUGACAGGCUUGAAUCCGGGAGAGGGAUGCGGAAUUCCAGGUGUAGCGGUGAAAUGCGUAGAUAUCUGGAGGAACACCGGUGGCGAAGGCGGUUCUCUGGGCAUGUCCUGACGCUGAGGAGCGAAAGUGUGGGGAGCGAACAGG
Molecule: ribosomal RNA, 253 nt
Filed under: uncultured bacterium
Lineage: Bacteria
Description: partial 16S ribosomal RNA
Rfam family: Bacterial small subunit ribosomal RNA
Source: RNAcentral